GAGGAUGCGAGCGUUAUCCGGAUUUAUUGGGUUUAAAGGGUGCGUAGGCCGGCCGGUAAGUCAGUGGUCAAAACGGGAGGCUCAACCUUCUGUCGCCAUUGAAACUGUCGGUCUUGAGUGAGCGAGAAGUAUGCGGAAUGCGUGGUGUAGCGGUGAAAUGCAUAGAUAUCACGCAGAACGCCGAUUGCGAAGGCAGCAUACCGGUGCUCAACUGACGCUGAAGCACGAAAGCGUGGGGAUCGAA
Molecule: ribosomal RNA, 244 nt
Filed under: uncultured bacterium
Lineage: Bacteria
Description: partial 16S ribosomal RNA
Rfam family: Bacterial small subunit ribosomal RNA
Source: RNAcentral